UGUUGGGUAGCCCAGCGGAAGAGCGUCCGGGCCCGGACCGGGAGGUCGGCGGUUUGACUCCGCCCCGGACGU
This 72-nucleotide transfer RNA is filed under the name Deinococcus hopiensis KR-140. It matches the Rfam family "tRNA". Rfam says of the family: Transfer RNA (tRNA) molecules are approximately 80 nucleotides in length. Their secondary structure includes four short double-helical elements and three loops (D, anti-codon, and T loops). Further hydrogen bonds mediate the characteristic L-shaped molecular structure. tRNAs have two regions of fundamental functional importance: the anti-codon, which is responsible for specific mRNA codon recognition, and the 3' end, to which the tRNAs corresponding amino acid is attached (by aminoacyl-tRNA synthetases). tRNAs cope with the degeneracy of the genetic code in two manners: having more than one tRNA (with a specific anti-codon) for a particular amino acid; and 'wobble' base-pairing, i.e. permitting non-standard base-pairing at the 3rd anti-codon position. The record is from Rfam by way of RNAcentral. Lineage: Bacteria; Thermotogati; Deinococcota; Deinococci; Deinococcales; Deinococcaceae.